RNAcentral lists this small nuclear RNA (368 nucleotides) under Castor canadensis (American beaver). RNAcentral describes it as "7SK RNA (ENSCCNG00000015163.1)". It matches the Rfam family "7SK RNA". Rfam says of the family: 7SK was discovered as an abundant small nuclear RNA in the mid-70s but a possible function has only recently been suggested. Two independent studies have found that 7SK RNA binds the CDK9/cyclin T complex (known as elongation factor P-TEFb). The record is from Rfam by way of RNAcentral. Lineage: Eukaryota; Metazoa; Chordata; Mammalia; Rodentia; Castoridae.
GAAUGUGAGGGUGAUAUGGCUGUGACAUCUGCCAUCUGCUGAUUGUGACAUCAGUCAGCCCUGUUGAUCACUAGGGCUGAUUCAGCUGAUAUGACUGGCUACAAGGUGUCCUCCCUCCCUCCUUGAUCCAUGUGUGUCCCUCUUGAAGCUGUGCUCUCAGCUAAAGAAGAUACCUAUGUCCUUUUAUAGAGGAGAACCAUUCUUUGGACAAGGGUACAUGAGUAGCUGUGCUCCCCUGCUAGAACCCCUACUUAAAGUAUUAAUAGUAACAGUGUACUGAGUGACUAUAGCAUGGAGAAGGGACAUAAAUGACAGCAACACCAUAAAGGAUGAGUGGGAGGAAUUCGUAUAGGAUGUUCCUGUACUCU